GGUGACCGACCUUCGGGAGCCAUUACAGGUGUUGCAUGGCUGUCGUCAGCUCGUGUCGUGAGAUGUUCGGUUAAGUCCGCUAACGAGCGCAACCCUCGCUGUGUGUUAUAUGUGUCACACAGGACUGCUGGUAUUAAGCCGGAGGAAGGUGGGGACGACGUCAAGUCAGCAUGACCUUUAUAUCCAGGGCUACACACACGCUACAAUGGUCAGUACAAUGGUUGCCAAGCCGCGAGGCGGAGCCAAUCCUAAAAAAGCUGGCCUCAGUUCAGAUUGCAGUCUGAAACUCGACUGCAUGAAGUCGGAGUUGCUAGUAAACGCAGGUCAGCUAUACUGCGUUGAAUACGUUCCCGGGGCUU
This 359-nucleotide ribosomal RNA is filed under the name uncultured Anaerolineaceae bacterium. RNAcentral describes it as "bacterial SSU rRNA". It matches the Rfam family "Bacterial small subunit ribosomal RNA", at positions 1011 to 1382 of the family's 1533-position model. The record is from RNAcentral. Lineage: Bacteria; Bacillati; Chloroflexota; Anaerolineae; Anaerolineales; Anaerolineaceae.